Molecule: ribosomal RNA, 247 nt
Filed under: uncultured bacterium
Lineage: Bacteria
Description: partial 16S ribosomal RNA
Rfam family: Bacterial small subunit ribosomal RNA
Source: RNAcentral
UAACACGUGAGCAACCUGCCUUUCUANAGGGGGAGUAACAGUUGGAAACGACUGCUAAUACCGCAUAACGCUGCGAUGGGGCAUCCCGAUGCAGCCAAAGGAGCAAUCCGCUGAAAGAUGGGCUCGCGGCCGAUUAGCUAGUUGGUGGGGCAACGGCCCACCAAGGCGACGAUCGGUAGCCGGACUGAGAGGUUGAUCGGCCACAUUGGGACUGAGACACGGCCCAGACUCCUACGGAAGGCAGCAG